GAGAAGUUAAACAUACGACAAGAACUGAAUUAACCAGCGCGCACAACUAGUUAAGAAAAACAAACAUCCUUUGACACAAGUUUCUAAUUAUAUUCUGGCUGCGCCUGGCAGCAUUAUUAUGAGAGUGAAAGUGGACGUGCUGCUACUCCCUGCAUUCCCAACAUGUAUCAAGUACCUGCAUUGCGUAAUGCAAGAGUGAGAUGACACAUCUCAGCAAGCAAAAUAAUAACAAACUGUUUAACCACAUAAGAACAUUGUUUUACCACCAUUUGAUUUUUACAACCUCCUUAUUACGUAGGUGUAGCACGAAUACAAUGUACAACACACCUAGUUACCACACCUCGCAGGUAGAAACCACAAUAGUAACAUAGUAAUGUCACACUUCAUAUAUACCUCAUGAGUGCAAAUGUCUGCAAAUGCAAGGAUGACUUCUGCCUUCAUACCUCUAAGGAUAUGAAGCCGCAUCGUACCCCUCCUCGGGCAACGUACGAUGCUAAAAGUGUACCGGUACGGUCGGACCAUAAGAUCACGACAUAACUUCAAAAUGCAAGAUGGAUGAUGCGAUGUGCAUGUCAUGCCUACAACACUUCCUAUAACAUGAUUCAAAAAGAUACUUCAACUUCAUCCAAGAUGGGAAUCAACCACAUAUAUCAUUACCAAAUUAUGAUCAUCCACAAUAUUAGACAAUUGAGAAUUAAUACCUCCAAACAAAUAAACUUCAUCAUAGAAUUCAAUGAUUAACAUAAUUAAAACUUAUGCAUACUCAAUGACAGGGAAUAGGAUGCAAACCAAACGGUAGCAACCACCACUGUAUUUACUUGCCUUUACCGGAAGUUUGGGCAAAUCCCUAAGUACGAUCCGGAAGUUCACCACCUGUUUUCGACACACAACUUAGUGCACCAAUUUCACAUAAUCAGGCUCAUAAACGACGCCGCACCUACGCACAAACUCAAACCCCGCCGCAGGUUACAUCUCCCUCCACACCCACCAAACUGCAGCGGCGCUGCUUAAUAAUUUCAUAACUUUAAAAUUAUGACAGCAGUGGUAACAAACAAAAACACCAGAGGCAUCUACAUAAAAUUCCCCACAAGUUUUGUAUACAAUUUUUAAUUAAAUUCCAAAAACUAAUUAGCCCAAAACAGUCCACAAGAUGAACCCUGUAAUAUGUUUUUUUGUCUUUUGGACAGCGACAUACCCGGAUUCAAACAGCGAUAUCUUUUAAAAUAUAAUUCCAAAUCAAGCGCAUAAAUACUCAUUGGAAAGAUAAGACAAAGCCCUACAUGAUUAUCAUACUGGUUAACACUAAUUACCCACGAAAAAUUCCCAGAAACUGCUAAUACUACUGCUGUUCACCCACCUGAAAAAUCUGUUUUUUUUGGACAGCAACAUAACCGGAUUCAAACAACGAUAUCUCCUAAAUUAUAACUCCGAAUCGAGCGCAUAAGUACUCGUUGGAAAGGUAUGACAAAGCUCUACAUGAUUCUCCCACUGAUCCCCACUAAUUGCCCACGAAAAAUUCCCAGAAAUCCCUAGAACUACUGCUGUUCGCCCUCCCACAAAAAUUCUGGACAGCACCUCUACCGAUUCGCAUAGAUAAACAUAUAAUCAAUUGAAUUUUAGCGCAAAAACAUAGAUAACUUCAAGAUCACCUUGAGUUCCACCUUUUUCCUCCUUCCUUCCUUCCUCCCACCAAUUCUCCAAUUGAAACUUGCACCCCCACGAAGAAGAUCCAACGAGGAAGAACGACACUUGGAGAAGAGGAGACGGGGGGUGGCGGCUAGGGUUGAGGAGAUGGCUGCUGCAAAAAACUUGAGAAUGGAGAGGGGGCGGCUGCAGCACUUGGGGAAGAGGGAAG
This 1855-nucleotide long non-coding RNA is filed under the name Zea mays. RNAcentral's name for it is "long non-coding RNA (ZMAY_LNC004284)". Lineage: Eukaryota; Viridiplantae; Streptophyta; Magnoliopsida; Poales; Poaceae. The record is from RNAcentral.